AUUGAACGCUGGCGGAAUGCUUUACACAUGCAAGUCGAACGGUAGAGGGGGCAACCCCUCGAGAGUGGCGAACGGGUGAGUAAUAUAUCGGAACGUGCCCAGUCGUGGGGGAUAACGUAGCGAAAGUUACGCUAAUACCGCAUACGAUCUAAGGAUGAAAGCGGGGGAUCGCAAGACCUCGCGCGAUUGGAGCGGCCGAUAUCAGAUUAGGUAGUUGGUGGGGUAAAGGCUCACCAAGCCAACGAUCUGUAGCUGGUCUGAGAGGACGACCAGCCACACUGGAACUGAGAAACGGUCCAGACUCCUACGGGAGGCAGCAGUGGGGAAUUUUGGACAAUGGACGCAAGUCUGAUUCAGCCAUUCCGCGUGCAGGAUGAAGGCCCUCGGGUUGUAAACUGCUUUUGUACGGAACGAAAAGGUCUCUCUUAAUACGGGGGACUCAUGACGGUACCGUAAGAAUAAGCACCGGCUAACUACGUGCCAGCCGCCGCCGUAA
Molecule: ribosomal RNA, 496 nt
Filed under: uncultured bacterium
Lineage: Bacteria
Description: partial 16S ribosomal RNA
Rfam family: Bacterial small subunit ribosomal RNA
Source: RNAcentral